This 904-nucleotide long non-coding RNA is filed under the name Manacus vitellinus (golden-collared manakin). RNAcentral's name for it is "lncRNA (ENSMVIG00005008396.1)". The record is from RNAcentral. Lineage: Eukaryota; Metazoa; Chordata; Aves; Passeriformes; Pipridae.
UGGGAUGAGCAAUGCAGGGAACAGGGAGCUCAGAUCAGUCCUUGGGCAGGAAUUGAACUUGGGAGAUCAGCUGGUCUGGCCCCAGAGAGCACCACUGAAAUCAGAAUAAUGACCUGGCCUGUGCCCACUGCUCCUUAUUCAUUCCAAAGCACGUGUUGGUUCUGUUUUAGGAACUUAAAAUAACUUUAAACGAAAUAAGUCACCAUUUCCUUCUUCUUUUUCCCUUUCAGGUGGUGGAAUUGCCUCUCUACCCGUGUGCUGAGCUGUGGCUGCAGGGACUGUCAGGCCUUGUUGGCUGUGGUGGAAUUGCCUCUCUGUCCGUGUGCUGAGCUGCGGCUGCAGGGACUGUCAGGCCUUGUUGGCUCUGUUGCCUGGUGUCAUUUCCCUGCCUGAGCUGGCUGUGGGUUGGUGUGGGACGGCGAGGCCGGAGAGAGCGAGCGGAGGAGCCUCGGGCUGGAGAGGGGCAGGAGAAAGGCCCUGUGGGCAAAGGGACCUCCCCGUGUGCCCGGGGCCCUGCGGGGGACAGGAUGGACACUCUGGGGGCACUCUGAGGGGUGAGUGGAGAGCCUGGGGGCAGAAUGGGAGUUCACCUCCGGGGAAUAAAGAGGGCACCUUUGUGAGGGAAGAGCUGAGGUCACGUGUUUAACCACAUUGGCCAAAGUUGUGUUUGCACAAAUUGGGGCCAGAAGUGAAGGUCCAUCCAAAGCAAACCCUGCUCAACCUCCAAAUCCCAGGAUAAGUUCUACAGGCUGCUAAUGGAGGGACUAAAACUACACAUAAACAGAGCCAAGAGCACUAAUAAGGUCCCUGGGAAUCCCAUUACAUUGUUGUCAUAGAGUUUUUAACAGAUUUUGAAGUUUUUUAUAACAGCAACAUGUUUCUUCCUAUGGAUUUUUCCCUCUAC